ACGCAAUUGUAAAAACGAAUUGUAUAAAAACCGAAUGAAAAACUGAAGUAGCGACUUGAAUCUUCAAUCUUGACCCAAGCCUUGAAAACUAAAAAGCUAAAAAAUAUUCUAACGCUAAAAACUAAAAUAUGAAUGCUAAGGUUCUGGGGUGUGUCUCGAAUAGGUCAAAGGAAGGCCUAUUUAUAAGCUUCAGAUCUCCUUCGGAUCACCAUGAAAGUUGCCAUGCAAAGUAGAAUUCUAAAGGUAAUAGAAUCGUGUGAAAUAAGGCAACUCUCCAGCUAGAUGCGCGCUCCGGAAAAACUCUCCCACUCGCGCCGAAUUCGCAGCUCUCGCCAGAGGAAUGGAUGUCACCCGGGAAACGUGUCGCGCCAGAGAAAUGACGAUUUCUCUGGUAUCGCCAGAGGAAUGGUAUCGCCAGCGGAAUGAUGAUUUCUCUGCUAUCGCCAGAGGAUUCAUGAUUUCUCUGGCGCUUCGAUUCCGC
RNAcentral lists this long non-coding RNA (481 nucleotides) under Salvia miltiorrhiza (redroot sage). Its description in RNAcentral is "long non-coding RNA (SMIL_LNC013956)". Lineage: Eukaryota; Viridiplantae; Streptophyta; Magnoliopsida; Lamiales; Lamiaceae. The record is from RNAcentral.